This 535-nucleotide ribosomal RNA is filed under the name Saccharomyces cerevisiae (brewer's yeast). RNAcentral describes it as "partial 26S ribosomal RNA". Lineage: Eukaryota; Fungi; Ascomycota; Saccharomycetes; Saccharomycetales; Saccharomycetaceae. The record is from RNAcentral.
AAACCAACCGGGAUUGCCUUAGUAACGGCGAGUGAAGCGGCAAAAGCUCAAAUUUGAAAUCUGGUACCUUCGGUGCCCGAGUUGUAAUUUGGAGAGGGCAACUUUGGGGCCGUUCCUUGUMUAUGUUCCUUGGAACAGGACGUCAUAGAGGGUGAGAAUCCCGUGUGGCGAGGAGUGCGGUUCUUUGUAAAGUGCCUUCGAAGAGUCGAGUUGUUUGGGAAUGCAGCUCUAAGUGGGUGGUAAAUUCCAUCUAAAGCUAAAUAUUGGCGAGAGACCGAUAGCGAACAAGUACAGUGAUGGAAAGAUGAAAAGAACUUUGAAAAGAGAGUGAAAAAGUACGUGAAAUUGUUGAAAGGGAAGGGCAUUUGAYCAGACAUGGUGUUUUGUGCCCUCUGCUCCUUGUGGGUAGGGGAAUCUCGCAUUUCACUGGGCCAGCAUCAGKUUUGGUGGCAGGAUAAAUCCAUAGGAAUGUAGCUUGCCUCGGUAAGUAUUAUAGCCUGUGGGAAUACUGCCAGCUGGGACUGAGGACUGCGAC